GGUUCCUUAGUGUAGUGGUUAUGACGUUCGCUUCUUCCGAGAAAGGUCUCCAGUUCGAUCCCGGAUGGAACCA
This is a non-coding RNA of Trichonephila clavipes, 73 nucleotides long. Lineage: Eukaryota; Metazoa; Arthropoda; Arachnida; Araneae; Nephilidae. The record is from the annotation of a GenBank genome assembly.